AAAAUGUAAAAUUCAGACUUACAAGGUUGGGUUGCCUCCCAACAAGCGCUUUGUUUAACGUCGUUUCGAGCUCGACGGUUCAACGGUCUUCACGAUCCGGCUUUGUUGAGCAACUUCCUCAAGGGCUUUGUUGUCUUUAAUAGGUUCUUGAUGAACCUUCGAUAAAAUCUGAUACCACCCGUUUUCGGAACUACUUGCACAACACUCA
Molecule: long non-coding RNA, 208 nt
Filed under: Lathyrus oleraceus (garden pea)
Lineage: Eukaryota; Viridiplantae; Streptophyta; Magnoliopsida; Fabales; Fabaceae
Description: Pisum sativum (pea) long non-coding RNA (PSAT_LNC018238)
Source: RNAcentral